RNAcentral lists this ribosomal RNA (519 nucleotides) under uncultured bacterium. RNAcentral's name for it is "bacterial SSU rRNA". It matches the Rfam family "Bacterial small subunit ribosomal RNA", at positions 8 to 518 of the family's 1533-position model. The record is from RNAcentral.
AGGGUUCGAUUCUGGCUCAGGAUGAACGCUAGCGACAGGCUUAACACAUGCAAGUCGAGGGGCAUCACGGGAGUAGCAAUACAACUGGUGGCGACCGGCGCACGGGUGGGUAACGCGUAUGCAACCUACCUAUCAGAGGGGAAUAACCCGGCGAAAGUCGGACUAAUACCGCAUAAAACAGGGGCACCGCAUGGUGAUAUUUGUUAAAGAAAUUCGCUGAUAGAUGGGCAUGCGUUCCAUUAGGUAGUUGGUGAGGUAACGGCUCACCAAGCCGACGAUGGAUAGGGGAACUGAGAGGUUGGUCCCCCACACUGGUACUGAGACACGGACCAGACUCCUACGGGAGGCAGCAGUGAGGAAUAUUGGUCAAUGGGCGGGAGCCUGAACCAGCCAAGUCGCGUGAAGGAAGAAGGAUCUAUGGUUCGUAAACUUCUUUUGCAGGGGAAUAAAGUGCAGGACGUGUCCUGUUUUGUAUGUACCCUGAGAAUAAGGAUCGGCUAACUCCGUGCCAGCCGCCGC